CGGGACGGGUGAGUAACGCGUGGGUAACCUGCCUUAUACAGGGGGAUAACAGUCAGAAAUGGCUGCUAAUACCGCAUAAGCGCACAGAGCUGCAUGGCUCAGUGUGAAAAACUCCGGUGGUAUAAGAUGGACCCGCGUUGGAUUAGCUUGUUGGCAGGGUAACGGCCUACCAAGGCGACGAUCCAUAGCCGGCCUGAGAGGGUGAACGGCCACAUUGGGACUGAGACACGGCCCAGACUCUACGGGAGGCAGCAUG
Molecule: ribosomal RNA, 256 nt
Filed under: uncultured bacterium
Lineage: Bacteria
Description: partial 16S ribosomal RNA
Rfam family: Bacterial small subunit ribosomal RNA
Source: RNAcentral